AUGAACGCUGGCGGCAGGCUUAAUACAUGCAAGUUGAACGGUAACAUUUUGUAGCAAUACAGAGAUGACGAGUAGCGUACGGGUGCGUAACACGUGUGCAACCUACCUUAUACAGGAACAAAACGUUGAGAAAUUAGCGCUAAUAUUCCAUAAUAUUAUUGAUAGGCAUCUAUUUAUAAUUAAAGCUCAGGUGGUAUAAGAUGGGCACGCGUUCCAUUAGCUAGUUGGUAAGGUAACGGCUUACCAAGGCAACGAUAGAUAGGGGUUCUGAGAGGAUACACCCCCACACUGGAACUGAGACACGGUCCAGACUCCUACGGGAGGCAGCAGUAAGGAAUAUUGGGCAAUGGAGGCAACUCUGACCCAGCCAUGCCGCGUGCAGGAAGACAGUCUUAUGGAUUGUAAACUGCUUUUAAUAGGGAAUAAUUUCGAUUAUGUAUAGUUGAUUGCAGGUACCUAUAGAAUCAGCAUCGGCUAACUCCGUG
RNAcentral lists this ribosomal RNA (485 nucleotides) under uncultured bacterium. Its description in RNAcentral is "bacterial SSU rRNA". It matches the Rfam family "Bacterial small subunit ribosomal RNA", at positions 29 to 507 of the family's 1533-position model. The record is from RNAcentral.